This 75-nucleotide transfer RNA is filed under the name Acidobacteriota bacterium. RNAcentral's name for it is "Acidobacteria bacterium tRNA-Met". It matches the Rfam family "tRNA". Rfam says of the family: Transfer RNA (tRNA) molecules are approximately 80 nucleotides in length. Their secondary structure includes four short double-helical elements and three loops (D, anti-codon, and T loops). Lineage: Bacteria; Pseudomonadati; Acidobacteriota. The record is from RNAcentral.
GGCGGGGUGGCUCAGUGGUAGAGCGAGGGUCUCAUAAUCCCUAGGCCGUGGGUUCGAUUCCCACCCCCGCUACCC